CGUACUAACGUCAUUAGCGAAACCAUAACACUGUUGUAGCACCCGAGUACAAUAAUAUAAUUUUUUUAUUAUUAUAUUAAAUUGCGUGAAAUGAUCUGUCUGACAUAUUGUGUAUAAGUUGCAAUACUCUGGAUUUAUCUGCGUUAUUUUGUUUAAACCCAACAGCAUGACCUCGUUGCUGAUUUUACCGAGACGGUGUACUAUAAAUAUCAAAAGUAAUGGAGGAAUAUUCACAGGCAAAGGUCUAUCAAGGAUUCACUUUGCCCACAGGAAGUUUGUCCCUGUUCAGAAGCUGGACUUGGACGGACAUGGACACUCAGGUGUUUUGGGAUGUUGGAGAAGCUUCCUUAGAGGGUUUUUUGGAGGAGGCCAUGAUGGCACCAAAGAGAAGAUGACUUUAGAGGACAUUGCGAAAGGAAUCAGAGAUCGAGAGUUUAAACGGAUAGUGGUGAUGGCCGGAGCUGGGAUUAGUACUCCAAGUGGAAUUCCAGAUUUCAGAUCACCUGGAAGUGGCCUUUACAACAACCUCCAAAAGUAUAACCUCCCCUACGCUGAGGCCAUAUUUGAGAUUAACUAUUUCCAUUACAACCCUCAACCUUUCUUUGCAUUGGCUAAAGAGUUGUAUCCAGGGAAUUAUCGUCCCAAUCUGACGCACUACUUCAUCCGGCUACUUCAUGACAAAGGCCAGCUGCUCAGGAUGUACACUCAAAACAUCGAUGGACUGGAGAGAAUGGCAGGAAUUCCAGCUAAGAAGUUAGUGGAGGCACACGGGACAUUUGCGACAGCCACAUGCACAGUUUGUCGCAGAGAAUACCAAGGUGAAGAGCUGCGUAGCGAUAUAAUGGAAGGAACAGUUCCUCACUGCUCUCAGUGUAAAGGAGUCAUUAAGCCUGACAUUGUGUUUUUUGGUGAAGAGCUGCCUCAGCACUUUUUCCUCUACCUCACCGACUUCCCCAUGGCAGACUUACUGAUUGUAAUGGGAACAUCUUUAGAGGUGGAGCCGUUUGCCAGUUUAUCCGGAGCUGUGCGAGGUUCUGUGUCUCGCCUCCUUAUAAAUCGUGAUCUGGUGGGACCCUUUGCCCGGGGCUCUUCACGGCACAAUGACGUGGCAGAGCUGGGUGAUGUAGUGAGCGGCGUGAGGAAACUGGCAGACGCUUUGGGCUGGAUGCCUGAGCUGGAAGCUCUUAUGGCUGAUGAAGGCCAGAAGGUCAGUGAUGCUGAAUAAUAUUGGAUAUUUAACCGAAUUUACAUGUGCAGAUUUGAAGGAUAUAAGUGAACAAUGGUCGAACACCAGUCUACAUGAAUCCCAGAAGUACCAAAGAGACACCGGUGGGCUAGCUUCAAAGAUGAGAGAGGAAUGACUAUCCGGACGUGAGAGACCAGCUUCAUUUGUCGCAUCCUCUCAGUCAUUUUGUGGCUGUGAUGUGUUUCGGCUCGACGUCCAUGGCACGUUAACAACCUUGAUGGAGUCAAACUGUAAUGAACAUGGCACUAGGAGGCUCGGCUCUCUGCAUUAGUCUUGUGACUGUUUUACAGUCUCGGAGUUCAUAUGUAAUUAUUAAUGAUAUGAACGAUGAGCUGUUUAAAUGUGACAUUGUUUUCAGGUGACUUAAGAUUUUUCUCCCUAUUUAUUAAUAUUAAUAUUAAAAUCUUUAAAAGUU
Molecule: RNA transcript, 1661 nt
Organism: Hemibagrus wyckioides
Lineage: Eukaryota; Metazoa; Chordata; Actinopteri; Siluriformes; Bagridae
Gene: sirt3
Gene name: sirtuin 3
Exons: 8
Source: RefSeq, a predicted model, not a curated record